This 482-nucleotide ribosomal RNA is filed under the name Neisseria pharyngis. RNAcentral describes it as "bacterial SSU rRNA". It matches the Rfam family "Bacterial small subunit ribosomal RNA", at positions 30 to 498 of the family's 1533-position model. The record is from RNAcentral. Lineage: Bacteria; Pseudomonadati; Pseudomonadota; Betaproteobacteria; Neisseriales; Neisseriaceae.
AUUGAACGCUGGCGGCAUGCUUUACACAUGCAAGUCGGACGGCAGCACAGAGAAGCUUGCUUCUUGGGUGGCGAGUGGCGAACGGGUGAGUAACAUAUCGGAACGUACCGAGCAGUGGGGGAUAACUAAUCGAAAGAUUAGCUAAUACCGCAUAUAUUCUGAGGAAGAAAGCAGGGGACCAUUUGGCCUUGCGCUGUUUGAGCGGCCGAUAUCUGAUUAGCUGGUUGGUGGGGUAAAGGCCUACCAAGGCGACGAUCAGUAGCGGGUCUGAGAGGAUGAUCCGCCACACUGGGACUGAGACACGGCCCAGACUCCUACGGGAGGCAGCAGUGGGGAAUUUUGGACAAUGGGCGCAAGCCUGAUCCAGCCAUGCCGCGUGUCUGAAGAAGGCCUUCGGGUUGUAAAGGACUUUUGUCAGGGAAGAAAAGGACAGGGUUAAUACCCCUGUCUUGAUGACGGUACCUGAAGAAUAAGCACCGGCU